Ziziphus jujuba (common jujube) is the source of this 102-nucleotide small nucleolar RNA. RefSeq annotates it as small nucleolar RNA Z103. The record is from RefSeq and is a predicted model, not a curated record. Lineage: Eukaryota; Viridiplantae; Streptophyta; Magnoliopsida; Rosales; Rhamnaceae. The transcript has a single exon.
AUGGAAGUGAGGAUUUUUUCCCCAGAUGAUCGACGCUGAUUAAACUGCGCUUAUUUUUAUUUUCUCAUUCUCUUGAGAAUCCAAGCCAGAAUUCUGAUCCGU